RNAcentral lists this transfer RNA (62 nucleotides) under Derotettix mendosensis. RNAcentral describes it as "tRNA-Ala". Lineage: Eukaryota; Metazoa; Arthropoda; Insecta; Hemiptera; Cicadidae. The record is from RNAcentral.
GGGAGUGUAUUUAAAUAAUAAUAAUUGAAUUGCAUUCAUUAGGUGUCAUUUGACCUCUCUCA